GACGAACGCUGGCGGCGUGCCUAAUACAUGCAAGUAGAACGCACAGUUUAUACCGUAGCUUGCUACACCAUAGACUGUGAGUUGCGAACGGGUGAGUAACGCGUAGGUAACCUGCCUGGUAGCGGGGGAUAACUAUUGGAAACGAUAGCUAAUACCGCAUAAUAUUGAUUAUUGCAUGAUAAUUGAUUGAAAGAUGCUAUUGCAUCACUACCAGAUGGACCUGCGUUGUAUUAGCUAGUAGGUGAGGUAACGGCUCACCUAGGCGACGAUACAUAGCCGACCUGGGAGGGGGAUCGGCCACACUGGGACUGAGACACGGCCCAGACUCCUACGGGAGGCAGCAGUAGGGAAUCGUCGGCAAUGGACGAAAGUCUGACCGAGCAACGCCGCGUGAGUGAAGAAGGUUUUCGGAUCGUAAAGCUCUGUUGUAAGAGAAGAACGGGUGUGAGAGUGGAAAGUUCACACUGUGACGGUAUCUUACCAGAAAGGGACGGCUAACUACGUG
RNAcentral lists this ribosomal RNA (505 nucleotides) under uncultured bacterium. RNAcentral's name for it is "partial 16S ribosomal RNA". It matches the Rfam family "Bacterial small subunit ribosomal RNA", at positions 28 to 507 of the family's 1533-position model. The record is from RNAcentral.